Molecule: ribosomal RNA, 41 nt
Filed under: Schizophyllum commune
Lineage: Eukaryota; Fungi; Basidiomycota; Agaricomycetes; Agaricales; Schizophyllaceae
Also listed under: 2 other names
Description: partial 18S ribosomal RNA
Source: RNAcentral
UGGAAGUAAAAGUCGUAACAAGGUUUCCGUAGGUGAACCUG